CCUACGGGAGGCAGCAGUGGGGAAUAUUGGGCAAUGGAGGCAACUCUGACCCAGCAACGCCGCGUGAAUGAUGAAGGUCUUCGGAUCGUAAAGUUCUGUGAUGGGGGAUGAACACAAUGACGGUUCCCCAAUAGCAAGCCACGGCUAACUACGUGCCAGCAGCCGCGGUAAUACGUAGGUGGCAAGCGUUAUCCGGAAUGACUGGGCGUAAAGGGUGCGUAGGUGGUUUAGUAAGUUGGCGGUGUAAUUCCGGUGCUCAACCUGGGCGCUACCGCCAAAACUAUUAGACUAGUGUGCAGGAGGGGUAAGUGGAAUUCCUAGUGUAGCGGUGGAAUGCGUAGAUAUUAGGAGGAACAUCAGGGGCGAAGGCGACUUACUGGACUGUAACUGACACUGAGGCACGAAAGCGUGGGGAGCAAACAGGAUUAGAUACCCCUGUAGUC
Molecule: ribosomal RNA, 443 nt
Filed under: uncultured bacterium
Lineage: Bacteria
Description: partial 16S ribosomal RNA
Rfam family: Bacterial small subunit ribosomal RNA
Source: RNAcentral